Peromyscus maniculatus bairdii (prairie deer mouse) is the source of this 730-nucleotide non-coding RNA. NCBI's taxonomy places the organism in Eukaryota, Metazoa, Chordata, Mammalia, Rodentia, Cricetidae. The record is from RefSeq and is a predicted model, not a curated record.
CAUAGGUGCCAUUCUUCCCGCUAUGCAUACUACUAGGUGAUCUUUAGCUCCAGCACCACAAAUCCCAAACCAUCUGCUCAAACUUGAGGUCUUCAGGCCUCUGUGAGCUUCAAAUUGAUGGACUUUCCAACCUGGCAGGCACAUCCAUCCUGGAGAAUAGAAGAUGGGGAGUAGAGAAUGGAGCCACCAUCAUGAGUCACUGGCAUCUGCAUCCAGUUGUAAGUGUGUAAUGAGAACCUCAUGUCUCGCUGGCUGGGCUGCAUUCGUCUGGACACUGGUCAGGGAGUAGCCAUCUCCAGAAGGGCCUUACUUGGGGCCAGGCCAGAGCUGCUGCAUCUGGACUUCUUCCUAUAUCAUGACAACCCUUUUUCCUGUGGGAGUUUAGAAGUGGGGAAGCUCAGAGAACAGCCGCCCUCCAUCCAGGCAGGGAUGUCGAGCUGCUGGUCCACGUUGUUGGGCAUGGAAUAUGUGGCAAGAGAGCAGGACACUGGCUGAAUGGAGUGACCAGUGGACGGUAUGGAGUCAGGGGCAACUCUGGAGAUGGACUAUGUUCAAAAGCAACUAGCCACCAUGGCCCAGACUGGAAGGAGGACUGUGAGUCACCCCCACGACAGGAUGUGAGCCUUCAGCUUCCGCUCCAGCCUCACUGCCUGCCCCCAUGGCCUCUGCUCUGCCUUCGUGGACCUAAGCCUCUGGGACCAUAAGCCCCAAUAAACUAUUUCUUCUUUAA